UGAGGGGAUUGAUGAGCUGAGGUCAUGCUGGACCACUAGAACGCAGCAAGAGCAGCUGAGCCCAGUGCUCUUGUCUCUAUUACUUACUGCCUCACAUUUCUUUCUGUUGAUUGUUGCUGUGUGGAAAGUCAGAGUUGGGAGCAGGGGCUAUGAAGUUGGAACUUGUUGGCAUCUGACAGAGCAUCUCAGAUUUCUUAUGUAAAAUGUGGAAUUGUCAACAGUCAGAUGCUUCAAUGGCCAAGACUGUGGUGUGCAGUUUCUAUCAGCGUGUACAGGACAUCCUGCCUGGUUUUGGCCUCAAGCCCAAGGCAGUGUCAGAGCCUGGGAUCUGUCUGGACUUUGCAACCCUGGAAGGCUUUGCUGCAGACCAGAGAGCUGCCAGGAGGCCUCAGAAAUGCCUGAGAACAAAGAGGCGGUAAACACACACGCUGAAACCUUUUACCAACUGGCUGUGGCCCAAACCAAAAUGAGAAAUGAAUUGCUGAGAGCUGCCAUUGAUGGACACAGAGGGUGUUAAAACCCAGAGCACAUAAGCCAGGAUGAGAAAAUUAAUCAGAAGAUAAAAGACAGCGGGCUUUGGGGACCCUGGCCGAGCCCUCCUGCAUGCUCCUGGGACAUCCUUUCAGACCAGCAGCACCAUCCCAUGCAGGGGCUGUGACAGAUGACUUAUAAUGUAGACAUCACCUCUGCUGGUGGACAGCCUUCGGAUUUGCUGAGUCCUUUCAUAACAAAUAAAACCAAA
Molecule: long non-coding RNA, 742 nt
Organism: Mus caroli (Ryukyu mouse)
Lineage: Eukaryota; Metazoa; Chordata; Mammalia; Rodentia; Muridae
Source: RefSeq, a predicted model, not a curated record